CUGGUUUUCACAAUGAUUUGACAG
RNAcentral lists this microRNA (24 nucleotides) under Dinoponera quadriceps. Its description in RNAcentral is "dqu-bantam-5p". Its record names the gene dqu-bantam-5p. Lineage: Eukaryota; Metazoa; Arthropoda; Insecta; Hymenoptera; Formicidae. The record is from miRBase by way of RNAcentral.